This 660-nucleotide small RNA is filed under the name Vigna angularis var. angularis. Its description in RNAcentral is "Non-protein coding transcript". Lineage: Eukaryota; Viridiplantae; Streptophyta; Magnoliopsida; Fabales; Fabaceae. The record is from RNAcentral.
AGUAUUUAUAGUUCUUCAAUGUUGAGUGAGUUCAUGGGAGAGUGGGUAUGAUGAGUUGACUCAAUUUAUCUCCUUCUAAUUUAGAAACACUUUUAAAAAUCUAAUUAUAAUCCAAAAGAAAUUGGAUCUGAAAACGGAACAUGCUUUAACAAAUUCUAGAACUUCAAAUUGAAAACCAUCUUUGGAAGAACCAAACUGUACCUUCUUCUUCGCAGCUUCCUUAAUACCAAGAACAUACAUAACGCUCUCAUCAUGUUUGCUUAUCCCUUAAAAAUACACCCAAAAGUAUAAUUCUUAAAAAUAUCACAUAGGGUUGUUUUUACUAUAAAGUUGGAUAAGACUGCAAAAUAUUUGCUUCAACAUGCAACUUUUCCCACUUUUUUUGUAACUUUUUUUCUCAAUUGCUGUUGUUGGGGAAUUGUAAUACGCAAUUUUUUGUGUGCAGAGCUUUGAAAUUAAGGAAGCACUACCGGUUGCAAGUUAUGAAGGCAUGUACUUCAAUCUGUACAUUAGUAGUGCUAUACAGGUGACUUUAAUGAAAAUGUCUGGAGAUGGUAUCAUGUCUAUUUUAGAUUUUUAAUGUCUUUAGUAGUAGUUGAGAUUAAUCAUUGAGAAAGAAGUUACUACAUUACAUGUAUAUGUUGUGUUAUUUUAAAACCA